UCUUCCUAUCUGUGGACUGGACUCACCUUCGCUAGAGUCUUUGGAACCCUCUGGCUUCUUUGCUUUGCUCUUCUUGUGGGGCGGAGAGAGGCCUUUUGGCUCUAACACCUCUG
This is a long non-coding RNA of Leopardus geoffroyi (Geoffroy's cat), 113 nucleotides long. RefSeq lists it as uncharacterized. The transcript has 3 exons. The record is from RefSeq and is a predicted model, not a curated record. NCBI's taxonomy places the organism in Eukaryota, Metazoa, Chordata, Mammalia, Carnivora, Felidae.